AAUCAACGCUGGCGGCGUGCCUCAGACAUGCAAGUCGAACGAUUAAAGCUCUCUUCGGAGAGUGCAUAAAGUGGCGCACGGGUGAGUAACACGUAAGUAAUCUACCUUCGAGUGGGGAAUAACGUCCGGAAACGGACGCUAAUACCGCAUAACGCAGCGGCAUCGCAAGAUGACAGUUGUUAAAGAUUUAUCGCUUGAAGAGGAGCUUGCGGCAGAUUAGCUUGUUGGUAAGGUAACGGCUUACCAAGGCUACGAUCUGUAUCCGGUCUAAGAGGACGGUCGGACACACUGACACUGAAUAACGGGUCAGACUCCUACGGGAGGCAGCAGUCGGGAAUUUUGGGCAAUGGGGGAAACCCUGACCCAGCAACGCCGCGUGAAGGAUGAAGUAUUUCGGUAU
This 400-nucleotide ribosomal RNA is filed under the name uncultured bacterium. RNAcentral describes it as "bacterial SSU rRNA". It matches the Rfam family "Bacterial small subunit ribosomal RNA", at positions 32 to 424 of the family's 1533-position model. The record is from RNAcentral.